This 65-nucleotide transfer RNA is filed under the name Dipodomys ordii (Ord's kangaroo rat). It matches the Rfam family "tRNA". Rfam says of the family: Transfer RNA (tRNA) molecules are approximately 80 nucleotides in length. Their secondary structure includes four short double-helical elements and three loops (D, anti-codon, and T loops). Further hydrogen bonds mediate the characteristic L-shaped molecular structure. tRNAs have two regions of fundamental functional importance: the anti-codon, which is responsible for specific mRNA codon recognition, and the 3' end, to which the tRNAs corresponding amino acid is attached (by aminoacyl-tRNA synthetases). tRNAs cope with the degeneracy of the genetic code in two manners: having more than one tRNA (with a specific anti-codon) for a particular amino acid; and 'wobble' base-pairing, i.e. permitting non-standard base-pairing at the 3rd anti-codon position. Lineage: Eukaryota; Metazoa; Chordata; Mammalia; Rodentia; Heteromyidae. The record is from Rfam by way of RNAcentral.
GGUAGCUCAGUGGCAGAGCGCCUGCCUUGCAUGCAUGAGGCCCUGGGUUCGAUUCCUCAGUACCA